GAAGAAGAAGAUGAUGAGAGAAGGUGCAACUCUACACUGAUGAGGUGGGUUCAUCUAUUUCCCUCUCUCUCUCUCUCUCUCUCUCUAUCUAUCUCUAGAUUAGUAACAUUUGCACCCUGAACCAUAUAUAUUUCCAUAUAUUCACUCCACUAAUUCUCUACAGUCCCAGUAUAUCUUUGGAUAUCUCCAACCGGAUUCUACUUAAUUAACCCACUUCUCCAAUCUCUCUCUCUCUUUAUUUCUUCCUCU
This 249-nucleotide long non-coding RNA is filed under the name Ananas comosus (pineapple). RNAcentral's name for it is "long non-coding RNA (ACOM_LNC040116)". Lineage: Eukaryota; Viridiplantae; Streptophyta; Magnoliopsida; Poales; Bromeliaceae. The record is from RNAcentral.